GUCUGCCCAGAGAAGCGGUGGAAUCCUUGUCCCUAAAGGUAUUUGAGAGACACAGGACAUGGCUGAGACUUAGUAGGUUAGGCUGAUGGUUGGACUUGAAGAUUUUUUCCAACCCAAGUUACUCUAUGAUUCAAUCAAUUUUCUUUCUGGUGAUUUUUUCAUCUGUGGAUUGAGACAAAGCUGCAUGGAAUCUCUGGCUUCAGAAGGUUGAUCUGGGCUGAAACAAUUUCCAAGAAUGACUGAUAUUCUCUCCAUGAUAACCAGACAUAGCAAUUGAUCAACUUUUCUGGAAACCACGAUGAAUCUGCUCACCAGUUCAGACAAUGCACCCUUUUGUUUCCCCUGAUUCAGACAGCAACAGGAAGACAGGAAAGCAGGUUGCCACAUGGGACUUGGAAGAACUGACUGUCUUGUUAGGGUGCGGCUGGAUAUCAGACCUCAGGUUGCUCUCUGAGACAAAACAGUCUUACCUGCUCAUCACACAUUGCAUGGUUGACCUCUUACCAUGAGUGAGGACAGCUCUCACCAGAAAUGGAGCCAGAAGAGUCUCGAUACAAAAAAAAGAAAUCCAUCUAGAGGUA
RNAcentral lists this long non-coding RNA (581 nucleotides) under Chrysolophus pictus (golden pheasant). Its description in RNAcentral is "lncRNA (ENSCPIG00010007863.1)". Lineage: Eukaryota; Metazoa; Chordata; Aves; Galliformes; Phasianidae. The record is from RNAcentral.